Molecule: small nucleolar RNA, 185 nt
Organism: Nerophis lumbriciformis (worm pipefish)
Lineage: Eukaryota; Metazoa; Chordata; Actinopteri; Syngnathiformes; Syngnathidae
Product: small nucleolar RNA SNORA81
Source: RefSeq, a predicted model, not a curated record
CCCUUCUCUUUUAAGCACCCUGCUCAAACUGCAGAAGCCCAGCCUACCAGGCUUGGCUCAUGUGGGUGUGUAAGCAUGGGUAAACCAGGGAAGGAGACUAAAAUACACAGCGUCUGAAUUGAGGCCCAGAGGGACCGCUUUCUUAAUGUCUAAUGUCUGUUGUCUCAAGAGGUUGUGUUACAUCA